This 440-nucleotide ribosomal RNA is filed under the name uncultured bacterium. RNAcentral describes it as "partial 16S ribosomal RNA". It matches the Rfam family "Bacterial small subunit ribosomal RNA", at positions 338 to 795 of the family's 1533-position model. The record is from RNAcentral.
CCUACGGGAGGCAGCAGUGGGGGAUAUUGCACAAUGGGGGGAAGCCUGAUGCAGCGAUGCCGCGUGGGUGAAGAAGCGCUUCGGCGCGUAAAGCUCUGUCAGCAGGGAAGAAAAUGACGGUACCUGAAGAAGAAGCACCGGCUAACUACGUGCCAGCAGCCGCGGUAAUACGUAGGGGGCAAGCGUUAUCCGGAUUUACUGGGUGUAACGGGGGCGCAGACGGCGGUGCAAGCCAGGAGCGAAAGCCCGGGGCCCAACCCCGGGACUGCUCUUGGAACUGCGUGGCUGGAGUGCAGGAGGGGGAGGCGGAAUUCCUGGUGUAGCGGUGAAAUGCGUAGAUAUCAGGAGGAACACCGGUGGCGAAGGCGGCCUGCUGGACUGCAACUGACGUUGAGGCCCGAAAGCGUGGGGAGCAAACAGGAUUAGAUACCCGUGUAGUC